RNAcentral lists this transfer RNA (55 nucleotides) under Dihammatus sp. UPOL A00600. RNAcentral describes it as "partial tRNA-Ser". The record is from RNAcentral. Lineage: Eukaryota; Metazoa; Arthropoda; Insecta; Coleoptera; Lycidae.
AUAAACAAUUUAAUGCUUUGUAAAAAGUUAGAAGCUUUUAAUAUAAUAUUUCUUU